UUAGACGGUGGUGACGGCGGCGGCGGCGUCGACGACGACAGCAGCAGCAGUAGCGGGGAGAAAUCGGGCAGAAAUGAGAGAAGCAAAAUACUAGGGCGGGAAAGAACAACCAUUACUCAUUACUCAUCUAUUCACUUUUAUGUUUU
Non-coding RNA from Caenorhabditis elegans, 146 nucleotides. The record is from Ensembl. Lineage: Eukaryota; Metazoa; Nematoda; Chromadorea; Rhabditida; Rhabditidae.